Molecule: ribosomal RNA, 250 nt
Filed under: uncultured bacterium
Lineage: Bacteria
Description: partial 16S ribosomal RNA
Rfam family: Bacterial small subunit ribosomal RNA
Source: RNAcentral
UACGUAGGUGGCGAGCGUUGUCCGGAUUUACUGGGCGUAAAGGGCGUGCAGGCGGUUUGUUAAGUGCAGGGUGAAAGCUCCCGGCUCAACUGGGAGAGGUCCUUGCAUACUGGCGAACUCGAGGGAGGCAGAGGAAAGUGGAAUUCCCGGUGUAGUGGUGAUAUGCGUAGAUAUCGGGAGGAACACCUGUGGCGAAGGCGGCUUUCUGGGCCUUACCUGACGCUGAGACGCGAAAGCGUGGGGAGCGAAC